GUGACAGCGGAGGGAUCAUUACCGAGUUUACAACUCCCAAACCCCUGUGAACAUACCUUAAUGUUGCCUCGGCGGAUCAGCCCGCGCCCCGUAAAACGGGACGGCCCGCCAGAGGACCCAAACUCUAAUGUUUCUUAUUGUAACUUCUGAGUAAAACAAACAAAUAAAUCAAAACUUUCAACAACGGAUCUCUUGGUUCUGGCAUCGAUGAAGAACGCAGCAAAAUGCGAUAAGUAAUGUGAAUUGCAGAAUUCAGUGAAUCAUCGAAUCUUUGAACGCACAUUGCGCCCGCUGGUAUUCCGGCGGGCAUGCCUGUUCGAGCGUCAUUUCAACCCUCAAGCCCCCGGGUUUGGUGUUGGGGAUCGGCUCUGCCCUUCUGGGCGGUGCCGCCCCCGAAAUACAUUGGCGGUCUCGCUGCAGCCUCCAUUGCGUAGUAGCUAACACCUCGCAACUGGAACGCGGCGCGGCCAUGCCGUAAAACCCCAACUUCUGAAUGUUGACCUCGGAUCAGGUAGGAAUACCCGCUGAACUUAAGCAUAUCAAUA
RNAcentral lists this ribosomal RNA (545 nucleotides) under Fusarium sp. 3.2. RNAcentral's name for it is "eukaryotic LSU rRNA". The stretch from base 173 to 326 matches the Rfam family "5.8S ribosomal RNA". The record is from RNAcentral. Lineage: Eukaryota; Fungi; Ascomycota; Sordariomycetes; Hypocreales; Nectriaceae.